RNAcentral lists this ribosomal RNA (500 nucleotides) under uncultured Sphingobacteriales bacterium. Its description in RNAcentral is "bacterial SSU rRNA". It matches the Rfam family "Bacterial small subunit ribosomal RNA", at positions 903 to 1382 of the family's 1533-position model. The record is from RNAcentral. Lineage: Bacteria; Pseudomonadati; Bacteroidota; Sphingobacteriia; Sphingobacteriales.
GCCACGCCCGCUCAAGAAACUUAAAGGAAUUAGACGGGGGCCCGCACAAGCGGUGGAGCAUGUGGUUUAAUUCGAUGAUACGCGAGGAACCUUACCUGGGCUCAAAUGUAUGUUGACGUAUUCUGAAAGGGAUACUUCUUCGGACAAUAUACAAGGUGCUGCAUGGUUGUCGUCAGCUCGUGCCGUGAGGUGUCGGGUUAAGUCCCAUAACGAGCGCAACCCCUAUCAUUAGUUGCCAUCAGGUCAAGCUGGGGACUCUAAUGAAACUGCCUACGCAAGUAGUGAGGAAGGUGGGGAUGACGUCAAAUCAGCACGGCCCUUACGUCCAGGGCUACACACGUGCUACAAUGGCCGGUACAAAGGGCAGCUACCUGGUGACAGGAUGCUAAUCUCAAAAGCCGGUCUCAGUUCGGAUCGGAGUCUGCAACCCGACUCCGUGGAGCUGGAAUCGCUAGUAAUCGCGCAUCAGCCAUGGCGCGGUGAAUACGUUCCCGGGCCUU